UCCGGUUUAACACCGGCGGUCUCCUUAGAGUACCCAACUGAAUGAUGGUAACUAAGGACAAGGGUUGCGCUCGUUAAGGGACUUAACCCGACAUCUCACGAUACGAGCUGACGACAGCCAUGCAGCACCUAAACCACAGGUCCCCGAAGGGAAAACCCUAUCUCUAGGGCUGUCCUGUGUUGUCUAACCCAGGUAAGGUUCUUCGCGUUGCAUCGAAUUGAACCACAUGCUCCACCGCUUGUGCGGGCCCCCGUCAAUUCCUUUGAGUUUUAACCUUGCGGCCGUACUUCCCAGGCGGGGUACUUAAUGCGUUAGCGUCGGCACUGCAGGGGUCAAUUCCCGCAACACCUAGUACCCAUCGUUUACGGCGUGGACUAC
This 378-nucleotide unclassified non-coding RNA is filed under the name uncultured Oligoflexales bacterium. Its description in RNAcentral is "contains 16S-23S intergenic spacer region". The record is from RNAcentral. Lineage: Bacteria; Pseudomonadati; Bdellovibrionota; Oligoflexia; Oligoflexales.